RNAcentral lists this ribosomal RNA (460 nucleotides) under uncultured bacterium. RNAcentral describes it as "partial 16S ribosomal RNA". It matches the Rfam family "Bacterial small subunit ribosomal RNA", at positions 338 to 795 of the family's 1533-position model. The record is from RNAcentral.
CCUACGGGAGGCAGCAGUGAGGAAUAUUGGUCAAUGGACGCGAGUCUGAACCAGCCAAGUAGCGUGAAGGAUGACUGCCCUACGGGUUGUAAACUUCUUUUAUAUAGGAAUAAAAUGUUCCACGUGUGGGUUUUUGUAUGUACCAUAUGAAUAAGGAUCGGCUAACUCCGUGCCAGCAGCCGCGGUAAUACGGAGGAUCCGAGCGUUAUCCGGAUUUAUUGGGUUUAAAGGGAGCGUAGGUGGGUUGUUAAGUCAGUUGUGAAAGUUUGCGGCUCAACCGUAAAAUUGCAGUUGAAACUGGCAGUCUUGAGUACAGUAGAGGUGGGCGGAAUUCGUGGUGUAGCGGUGAAAUGCUUAGAUAUCACGAAGAACUCCGAUUGCGAAGGCAGCUCACUGGACUGCAACUGACACUGAGGCUCGAAAGUGUGGGUAUCAAACAGGAUUAGAUACCCCAGUAGUC